Molecule: ribosomal RNA, 332 nt
Filed under: uncultured bacterium
Lineage: Bacteria
Description: bacterial SSU rRNA
Rfam family: Bacterial small subunit ribosomal RNA
Source: RNAcentral
UGCGUAGGCGGCUCAGAAAGUAGGGUGUGAAAGCCCUCGGCUCAACCGAGGAAUUGCGCCCUAAACUACUGGGCUCGAGGAACGCAGAGGUAAGCGGAACUUAGGGUGGAGCGGUGAAAUGCGUUGAUAUCCUAAGGAACACCAGGAGCGAAAGCGGCUUACUGGGCGUUUUCUGACGCUGAUGCACGAAAGCUAGGGGAGCGAACGGGAUUAGAUACCCCGGUAGUCCUAGCCGUAAACGAUGAGCACUGGAUUGGAGGCCCCCCCAUAGGCUUCUAGUCGUAGCGAAAGUGUUAAGUGCUCCGCCUGGGGAGUAUGGUCGCAAGGCUGAA